CGUGGAUAAUGUGCCAUUCAGUGGGGAAUAACUAACCGAAAGGUUAGCUAAUACCGCAUGAGACCACAGUCCCUGAGGGGACAGAGGUUAAAGAUUUAUCGCUGAAUGAUCAGUCUGCGUAAGAUUAGCUAGUUGGUGAGGUAACGGCUCACCAAGGCAACGAUCUUUAGGUGGUCUGAGAGGAUGACCACCCACACUGGAACUGAGACACGGUCCAG
Molecule: ribosomal RNA, 218 nt
Filed under: uncultured bacterium
Lineage: Bacteria
Description: partial 16S ribosomal RNA
Rfam family: Bacterial small subunit ribosomal RNA
Source: RNAcentral